Molecule: ribosomal RNA, 159 nt
Filed under: Colletotrichum gloeosporioides
Lineage: Eukaryota; Fungi; Ascomycota; Sordariomycetes; Glomerellales; Glomerellaceae
Description: 5.8S ribosomal RNA
Rfam family: 5.8S ribosomal RNA
About the family: 5.8S ribosomal RNA (5.8S rRNA) is a component of the large subunit of the eukaryotic ribosome.
Source: RNAcentral
AACUUUUAACAACGGAUCUCUUGGUUCUGGCAUCGAUGAAGAACGCAGCGAAAUGCGAUAAGUAAUGUGGAAUUGCAGAAUUCAGUGAAUCAUCGAAUCUUUGAACGGACAUUGCGCCCGCCAGCAUUCUGGCGGGCAUGCCUGUUCGAGGGUCAUUUC